This 246-nucleotide long non-coding RNA is filed under the name Phoenix dactylifera (date palm). Its description in RNAcentral is "long non-coding RNA (PDAC_LNC006562)". Lineage: Eukaryota; Viridiplantae; Streptophyta; Magnoliopsida; Arecales; Arecaceae. The record is from RNAcentral.
GUAUAUAUACAUUCUCAGCAUGGCUAUGAUCUGUUCUGUUCUGUUCUGGCCUCGCCAAUGGGGAUUAUAUGUUGGCCCUGUCGACUUGUAAUCUGUGAGGAACCGGUUUCGACACCGUACCACCGGUGAUUAGAAUAGUGGUAUUUGGACACCGUACCACCGGUGCUUAAUAAUAGUGGUGUUUGGCACCUUGUGCAACCCAUGCCACUGGGUUACGUGGCCGUAGCCUAUCAUGUUGAGAUUCUG